Molecule: ribosomal RNA, 254 nt
Filed under: uncultured bacterium
Lineage: Bacteria
Description: partial 16S ribosomal RNA
Rfam family: Bacterial small subunit ribosomal RNA
Source: RNAcentral
CACGUAGGGCGCGAGCGUUGUCCGGAAUUAUUGGGCGUAAAGAGCUCGUAGGCGGCCUGUUGCGUCCGCUGUGAAAGCCCGGGGCUUAACGGCGGGUUGGCUUCCGGUACGGGCAUGCUGGAGUGUGGCAGGGGAGACUGGAAGUUCCUGGUGUAGCGGUGGAAUGCGCAGAUAUCAGGAGGAACACCGGUGGCGAAGGCGGGUCUCUGGGCCAUUACUGACGCUGAGGAGCGAAAGCGUGGGGAGCGAACAGG